RNAcentral lists this long non-coding RNA (271 nucleotides) under Sorghum bicolor (sorghum). Its description in RNAcentral is "long non-coding RNA (SBIC_LNC005088)". Lineage: Eukaryota; Viridiplantae; Streptophyta; Magnoliopsida; Poales; Poaceae. The record is from RNAcentral.
CCCCGCAGGUUGUCGAGAUGGGGGCACAGGUGCCGACCGGCCGGGCGAGGAGGAGGUUCACCGCGACCCACCGUCGGUCAGACCUGUAAGUGUUCGACUUACGUAUUUUGGACUCCUCUUUUUUUGUUCUUUUUUUUUUAAUUUUUGUUCCUGUAGUGCGGCAUCGGAUGUCGACCCUGGCCAAACUGCCGGCCAGGGAACGGGCGAGCCUGCCCGCGGUUCUGGGGAUGCGGCCCCCCAGACCACAGAGCAGCCAUCAGCUGCAGUCGCG